RNAcentral lists this ribosomal RNA (253 nucleotides) under uncultured bacterium. RNAcentral's name for it is "partial 16S ribosomal RNA". It matches the Rfam family "Bacterial small subunit ribosomal RNA", at positions 524 to 776 of the family's 1533-position model. The record is from RNAcentral.
UACGGAGGAUCCGAGCGUUAUCCGGAUUUACUGGGUUUAAAGGGUGCGUAGGCGGGCGCCUAAGUCAGCGGUGAAAGGCAGCGGCUCAACCGUUGGAUUGCCGUUGAAACUGGGCGCCUUGGAUUCGGUCGAGGCCGGCGGAAUGCGUGGUGUAGCGGUGAAAUGCUUAGAUAUCACGCGGAACGCCGAUUGCGAAGGCAGCCGGCCAGGCCUGGAUCGACGCUGAGGCACGACAGCGUGGGGAUCAAACAGG